RNAcentral lists this ribosomal RNA (116 nucleotides) under Pteropus alecto (black flying fox). Lineage: Eukaryota; Metazoa; Chordata; Mammalia; Chiroptera; Pteropodidae. The record is from RNAcentral.
GUCUAGGACCAUGCCACCCUGGAGAAGCCCGAUGUCUGAUCUCGGAAGCUAAGCAGGGUUGGGCCUGGUUAGUACUUGGAUGGGAGACCACUUAGGAAGACCAGGUGCUGUAGGCA